GCCUUCGGGUUGUAAACCUCUUUCAGCAGGGACGAAGCGCAAGUGACGGUACCUGCAGAAGAAGCACCGGCUAACUACGUGCCAGCAGCCGCGGUAAUACGUAGGGUGCAAGCGUUGUCCGGAAUUACUGGGCGUAAAGAGUUCGUAGGCGGUUUGUCGCGUCGUUUGUGAAAACCAGCAGCUCAACUGCUGGCUUGCAGGCGAUACGGGCAGACUUGAGUACUGCAGGGGAGACUGGAAUUCCUGGUGUAGCGGUGAAAUGCGCAGAUAUCAGGAGGAACACCGGUGGCGAAGGCGGGUCUCUGGGCAGUAACUGACGCUGAGGAACGAAAGCGUGGGUAGCGAACAGGAUUAGAUACCCUGGUAGUCCACGCCGUAAACGGUGGGCGCUAGGUGUGGGUUCCUUCCACGGAAUCCGUGCCGUAUCUAACGCAUUAAGCGCCCCGCCUGGGGAGUACUGCCGCAAGGUUA
RNAcentral lists this ribosomal RNA (471 nucleotides) under bacterium. RNAcentral describes it as "bacterial SSU rRNA". It matches the Rfam family "Bacterial small subunit ribosomal RNA", at positions 414 to 896 of the family's 1533-position model. The record is from RNAcentral.